This 478-nucleotide ribosomal RNA is filed under the name uncultured bacterium. RNAcentral's name for it is "partial 16S ribosomal RNA". It matches the Rfam family "Bacterial small subunit ribosomal RNA", at positions 28 to 523 of the family's 1533-position model. The record is from RNAcentral.
GAUGAACGCUGGCGGCGUGCUUAACACAUGCAAGUCGAACGGUAAGGCCCUUCGGGGUACACGAGUGGCGAACGGGUGAGUAACACGUGGGUGAUCUGCCCUGCACUUCGGGAUAAGCCUGGGAAACUGGGUCUAAUACCGGAUAGGACCACUGCCUGCAUGGGUGGUGGUGGAAAGCUUUUGCGGUGUGGGAUGGGCCCGCGGCCUAUCAGCUUGUUGGUGGGGUGAUGGCCUAUCAAGGCGACGACGGGUAGCCGGCCUGGGAGGGUGACCGGCCACACUGGGACUGAGAUACGGCCCAGACUCCUACGGGAGGCAGCAGUGGGGAAUAUUGCACAAUGGGCGCAAGCCUGAUGCAGCGACGCCGCGUGAGGGAUGACGGCCUUCGGGUUGUAAACCUCUUUCAGCACCGACGAAGCGCAAGUGACGGUAGGUGCAGAAGAAGGACCGGCCAACUACGUGCCAGCCGCCGCCGUAA